ACAUCGUCCUUGCCCUUUUUCCUUGAGAGAUUGAAGUAUUUGGGUGUGUUUUUGAAGUUGUUGAGGAGCAAGAAGAGAAGAUCAAGAAGAGGAGAAGGAGGCCAAGCAUCUCUGUGUCAUCCCAACGUUUUCCCUGAGGUAUAGCUCAUUUCCCCUCUGUUUUUGAGCUUGUAGUCCCUAAUAGCUUCAUGAAGGUCCUUCUUGAGCCAUUUCCCAAGCUUGUUUAUGCAAUGUGGGUCGUAUUAAGUUGUUAGCCUUUAGAUCUAGGCACUAUUCAGUCCCUGGAGCUUGGAUCUACUGUCUUUAUGGAGUCAUGUGGCACACAAGUCCUAGAUCUACCCCUUUUGGUGCACUUUGAUCCUUAAAACCUUCAUUGGUGAUGAUCUACACGUAAAGUUGGAAACUUUACGUGUAAACCAGGCCCUAGGAGCCCAGAUCUAUGAAUGGCAUGGAUUGGAUUCAAGCAAAAUCGCGUAUAUGGCUUUUGAAUGAAGCAGACUCGGCGAGUUGAGUCGCGAGUCUCUGAGUUUGUCUGUUUUUCGUUGUGUCGAGUAGAGUAGUGAGUCCUGGGAGGACUCGGUGAGUUGGAAGCCGAACUCACCCAUGAAGGAACUCGGCGAGUCAAUGCCCUGACUCGGCGAGUUCAAGGCAAUCUUCUUAGAUCAAGAACAGACUCGGCGAGUUGUUCAUACAACUCGGCGAGUCACAGCAUAAAGUGUUCAUCGGAUGAAGAUGAACUCGGCGAGUUGUUCAUACAACUCGGCGAGUAGGAUGAAGGACUUGGACAUCAGUUUAGAAGGAGAACUCGUCGAGUCAACGCUCAACUUGACGAGUAGAGAUGGGUUGCAGGACAAUCGAUUAGAUAGGGACUCGGCGAGUUGGAGAGCCAACCCGACGAGUCGGGUCAACUGAAAGUUGACUCUGGCUUUGACCUUUGACUUGAUCAAGGGUAAAAUGGUCAUUUUACCCAAGGGUCAGUUAGUAGUGUUUGAUUGAGUGUUUUGUGGGAAUUAUUGUCGGAGGAUUUCCGGAGCAGCAGUAGCAGCAGUAGACAGUCAAUUCCCACACAGGCCAGCAGCUAUUUCGAGGUGAGUUUUCUUCAAGUAGGAACGGGUCUAAGGCACCAAGGCCGGCCCGUAUAGACGAAACGUUAGUAUUAGAGUGUGGGCGGAGCCUGUAUCUCUCGGUUGAGCUGAUUAUCAUAUGUGCCAGUAUGAUAGAAUUUUCUAUACUUGUUGUCUGUGUGAUACUUGUAUAUUAUGGGUUACUGGUUGAGUGUGGGCAAGGCCCCUAUCUCUCCGAGAUUGUAGCGUGGGCUAGGCCCGUAUCUCCCAGAUAGUAGAGUGUGGGCGAGGCCCGUAUCUUCCGGCUAGCGGAGUGUGGGCAAGGCCCGUAUCUUCGUGAGUGUGGGCGAGGCCCGUAACUCCUAGCUUCAUGUUGUAUGUUGUAUGCUUGUAUGGUAUGAGGUAUUAUGGGGGAGCUCACUAAGCUUCGUGCUUACAGUUUUCAGUUUUGAUUUCUGGACCUCUUCAACUAACGGAAAGGAGUCGGCGCGGUAGCGACAUAUCACACACACUCUUCUUUUCCGCACUAUGGAUCUCUGGGAUCUACUCUGAAUUAUUACUAUGAAAUUACAAGUUUUCAGACAUGAAUUAUUAUUAUGAAUGUUUUGUAAUAAUGUUUUAUGUUUUGACCUAAAUUAAAAAUGAAAUUUUUAACCGGUAUUUUUGGGGUGUUACAUCCAUGCUCUCGGAUCAAUGACAAAUUUUAAAGUUCGACUCUCCAUGUAUAUCUCAACCACACUCAUAAGUAGAUACUACCCUAUAUCCAUCCCAAUUAAUUUAGGUUUGUUAUGUAUCCUAUAUCAUCAUAGAUUAUCAUAUAUACGCUUAACACGUAUUUCAAAAAAUAACAAAUAUUUCACGCACAAACAUAUAUUUAAUUCUUUAAUGAAUACUUGUAUUAAAAUCAUGUUAAUGAAAGGGACUAUGCACUCACUUGUUAAAGUGAUGAUUCCAUACUCGGGCAACGCUUCACUUCUAAUGAUUCUAUUUUCCUUCGAUGAAACCUAGUAUCAUUACUGCUAGAUUUUAGUCUAAUAUUUAUUGCAACUAUUUACGAGCGAUAUUGUUUUAUAAGUGUUAAACAAUACUUUUCAAUCACUAUGUACAUAUACGGGCCAGACAUGAAACACCAUAGGCCAAGACCAUUUUGGCAUUACAUCACUUCUGAAAUCCAACAACCCUAUGCAUCCCUUCAAACCAGAUUCCCCGUACCGAGUAGUUAAAAUAUAUAAUAAUAACACUUUGUAUAUUAUAUUUUAUAAUAUAUUAUUGUUUAUAAGUUCAUAAUAAUGAUAUUGAACUUAAACAUAAGCUAUACUUAAAGUAGGGUAAACAUAACUCACUUACCCGAAGGUUUGGCUAGGAACCGGGCUUUGUGAGGGAAGAAAUUCCAAGCCAAAAGCUCUUCUUCUCGGAGCCUGCUGGUGCUCUGGGACUCUCCUCUUAGCACUUAGAAAUUAAUAGAGGUUGGGGAGGUUUAGAGAGAAGUUAGAGAGAGACAUAGAAGGGUUAAGGUGUUAAGAAAAUAAGUGAGCCUCGCAUGGUAUUUAUAGUCUAAAAUUUUGAUAAACUCGGUGAGUUCUGAGCCUCCGACUCAUGGAGUUGGGUUCUAGGUGUCACCAUCUGUCACAACCCCAAACCAGAACGGCAGAAAUGUUCAGGGUUGGAUGACGUCAUGUGCAGUAUCACAACAAUUGUAUCAUAGCAAUCAUAGUAAACACAACCAUUACAUUGAAUACAUAUAUAAAAAAAUGUUUACAUAUGUUUAAUUCAUAUUUUUAUACAUCAAAAGUAUAAUCAAAAUGGAAAGACGUGACUCUAUACGCUCCAUCUUCUCAAAAUUUUAGGAGCUACCUAUCUACUGAUUCCCUGAGAAUGCAAGCAGUUUUGAAAGAGUAUCAGCAUAAAGUUGGUGAGUUCAUAAGCGAUGUUUUUGUAAUGAAAGCCUGUUGAUGACUCUGUAAAAAUGUUCACAUGGUUCCAAGAAAAUCCAAUAUUUUCUUUAGUAAGAGUAAGAUAAUAACAGUUAGAUUUAUAAUCACUUAGUUCAUGCUAGCCACGUAUAAACCAAUAUUGAAUAGACAGUAGACUAUGUGAAUCUGCCCUAAAUCCACAACCAAAGAAGGAACAGGAAAUGAGGAGGAAACCACACAUUCCACAGUCUAUCGAAUAUGCUCCAUUCGUAACCCUGAUGCCUAAACUAAGCAAUUAUAGAAUUAACCAUGAAUGUUUGUAACUAUAUUCUGUUGUAGUAAAGAAAAACAUUAGUUUGUAUGUCUAGUUACUAUCAACCGUAGUAUGUGUGUAUUCUUGUACAAAAACCUUUGUAUAGUAUGUUCUAUAUGAAAACGUUGGCUAAUAUCAGUAUGUAAUAGUAGUUUCAUUACUUAAAAUCAAACCAAUAAAGAAUGAAAUCCUAUAAACAAAUGAUUAGUUUAUACUAUUGUUAGUCGUAUAACCAUGUUUGAUAUGACCUAGUGACCUUUACGAUGUUCUUCAAGUGUUGGUUAAAUGACAUUUGUCACCUCAGGCAUGCCUGCCUAACUAUAGCUAGCAGUUCAAAUGUGGGAUUUUCAGUCCCAAAUAUUUCUAUUCACAAAUCUCACGCUCUCCCUCCAGGAGACUUUGGUUAUACUAUGAUAGGAUUUAAUUCAGUACACCUAAGGGUACAAUUUUGAAGUAGAGUCUCACAAUUCUAUAUAAUCUAGUUUACAUGUAAUUCAAUAGUGUUCGCUUGUAUUUGGAUCCGUCGUAUAUUGUAUAAAGUAAUAAUUACACUUAAAUAAUUAUUAAGUGUUGUACUCUUGUAGUAAUGUAUAUCAUAAACUAAAUAUGUCAUAGUUUAUAUGUUUACCCUGGUAUGUAAUCUGAAUUGGUAAAAGUUGUGUACUGAAUUCCCCAAAGAAUACCCAUUAUAGUUUAGUUGAAAACUUAUGUACUUGGUUUGUAAACUGUUCUGAAAACUACAAAAUUGUGUUUCCUAAAUAAAAGUGUCCCUUAUGGUCGACAUAGUACAAAAGGGAUAAAAUAUCUAAAAUUUUAUAAAACGUGAAAAUCAUUUGACUGUAUCAAUUGCAUAAGUUUAAAACUUGUUAAAAUCAUUUGUGUUUGGCUUGUAUUCCCCCUGAAAACAUUAAAAAUCGGAAAAGCGUAGGGGUAUGAACUCACUAUCAGUAGUGUGCAAACGUCGAAUCAACGAAUUGGAAUGAAGACCCUCGAGUUGUAGCGUGUGGCAGUUAACAGAAUCCUAACUACAAUUAAAUACAUUUAUGUAUUUAAAUUAGUGAUUUCGUUAGAUAUACUAUAGAAAAACACUUGAGUUCGGUUAAGGAAUGUUACCGGGAUUUGAUCGAAUCGAGUAAAGUGGGUUUUCAGUCUAAAUUACUGCUUAGGAAGUGUGUACGGCCGUGAAUGGGGUUGAUGGUCGUGAACAAAUGUGCGGGCGUGAACGAUGUAUGGCCUUUGAAGGUGUAUGGCCGUAAAAUGGUGUGCGGUCAAUGAAGAUUUGCAGAUUUGAAGGGGUACGGUCGUACACUCAAGAACAAGAGUGCUAAAAUCGAAGAAAAACUUGUUUUAGAUGCUUCGAAAUGAUCCCCAAUGGUGAUUCUCAAUGUUUUCUGGGAGAAUAAGGGUGCUUUUAGGGGUGUAUGGUCGAUAGUCUAGAGAGAGAAGGAGAGAGUGUCGGACCAGAAAAGUGUAAUCGAAGGGUAGGGUCUCAUAUUUAUAGGGGUUCUCAUUGGUCGGUGGUGGGGUCCACCCGACGCUGGCCAUAAAUGAGUGUAGUGUCGUACAUGGGUGUACGGCCGUGAACUCAAGUUCAGGUCAGGAACUCGGUCUUGAUUGAAGGAAUUCCCGGAAUUUCGCAUGGUUUUGGUUCCGACUCGAAUAUAGAAAAGGGUUCAGGUUGUCAUACCAUCUGGUGGCAAGGCAUGUGGAGGAAGCAAUGGCUUAGAUCGUGCCACAUCACCCACUUCGCAUCAGCCCAUCCCAACUUCUAAAUUUUUUAACUUUCGUAUAUGAGUUCCAUUUUCGACGUUCUUUAUAUUCACAUGUAGGUAUUGAAAAGAUCUACAACUCUCUUUAUGAGUUCAUUAGCUAAUUCUCGAUCAAUUUUAAAUAUAACAGUAUGAGAAGAUUACACUGUUUAAUGACCGUGUAAAAUUCAUAACUUCUACAUACGGACUCCGUUUUCGACUGUCAUUGUAUCGUUGAGCCCCAAUUAAUGAGAUCUUCAAUUCUAAUUUAGGUUGUGUUGGUUAAAAAUCGAUCGAUCUAUAUUUAUAAUUCCGGUUUGCAUACUACUAUGCUAAAUCUUAGAAAAAUCAUAACUUCGUCAUACGAAGUCGGAUUUGGUCAUUCUUCUUAUGCACGCUCUCAGUUGAACGCGUACUACGACUUUCGUUUAGAUCGCUAAGGCUAAAAAGUAAUUUAUCAUAUACUCACUUUUUACCUCACACAACAACAUGUCGAUUUUGUCGUGAAAGUUCGAUGAGUCAUAACUUCUUCGUUAUAAGUCGAAUUUCGUUCUUUAUAUGUAUGAAUUCCUUGUGACAUAUAAUAUAACUUGGUUAAGUUUAUUUAUUCUAAAUAAUCUUUUAUCAAAAAGUCAUUUUUUACGUUUAUUAUCUCCAAAUUGACUAGCCCGAAUCUACAGGGGUUGCAAAAACUCCCAUUUAUUAUUUAAACAAAUCAUAAAAGAUAUUUCAUGAUAAAACAAUUAUCAAAGUACAAUCUCAAAUCUCAAAGUUGCGGAAAAUAUGGGUGUAUGCACUAAGAUCAAGUCGAAUCCUUCCAUUUUCGAACUGGAAGUACUUGAAACCAUAAACCACAAAUUGUAAGAACAAAGUUUAGCGAGUUCCCCAAAAUACAUCAUACCAUACAUAACAUACGAUUCAUACAUAUCAAACAUGAAACAGGAGGUGUUGUGUGCCAACCAGAGUCUUGCCAUUAUGUCACGAGUCGUAUCAUGGUCUUUUCUUGCCAAGUCGGGGGAUAAAACCCUUGGGGAUAAAACCAAGUCGUAUCAUGGUCUUUUCUUGCUAGGAGCCACCUCCUGGUAUUUCAUAAAAAACCCAAGGGCCACCCCUUGGUCUUCCUACAACAAAUAAACCAAAUGGGCUGACACUGGUGCCUUCGACCCAUAGUACAGUGAGGAGCCUCACCUCGACAGCUGAACCCACAAAUAAAUUUUUUACUGCAUUUCCACUCGAAUCUCCACGCUACCAAACAUGAAUAACAAUCAAUUAAUAUUUGGGUUCCAGUUCAAAUCCAAUAAUCCAUAUAUGGGAUAAAAAGACCAUUUUACCCUCUAACCUACACACAUUAAGCAUGCAUAUUAGGGUAAGUUAACAUAUUAGAAAUAUCGUUUAAAUUUUCUGUCAUCAUCUUCGCCCGCUAAUUGAUACAAAGCUACAUUUUUCAGUGUAAUUGUGUGUGUGUGUCUAUAUAUAUAUAUAUAUAUAUAUAUAUAUAUANCUUAGGGAAUAUGUGGUUGUUAUGUAUAUAAUAUUAGGUAUAGAACCAUCUAACACUACAUAGUUUUAACAAAAUGCAAUUAAAUCUGUCUACCAUCUUUCUUGUAUCCUCUAUUAGAGUAAAUGAUAGGCUUUGUAUAUAUUUUUAUGGAGUUUUAAAUAUUUAAUUUUACACCACAAACCAUGUAUAAGAAUACAUUAUCAACUACCUAUAAAUCCUCAUAUUCAAAGUUAAUAUAGUAAACUAUGGUAAAAGAUUGAUAUUGUUCAUUAAAAACUCAAUAAACUUCUUUUCAUAACACAUUAAAAAGAACCAUUCAAGUAUACAUAUGGUAGGUGUGAAACAAAGUUAUGAAGCCUACUAAAGGUCUAAUAUAAACAACUCAAUCGAAAUAGAUAGUUGUUGGAGAUAAAUUAUGAAAUCAGAAAUAAUAUGAGCUCAAAAGCAAUAGAAAGAAAGUAACAAUGAAAAAAAAAAUUGUGUUUUUUUAAUCAAAAUUAAGUCCAUUUUGAUGGUUCUAUACCUAAUACUAUAUACAUGACAGCUACAUAUUCGUUUUUCCCAUAUAUAUAUAUAUAUAUAUAUAUAUAUACUAGUGGGGUACCUGCACGAUACAACUGCAACAAUUAGUUUUAUUUCGCUGAACAGUUUUCUGACGGCAAUUAGUUAAGUUUGGUGAACAUGUCAACCACCGCAGGAUGACGAUGCAGCGAAAGAAGAAUAAUCGAGAUUGUUCUUUGUCAAGCAUGACUAUAAUCAAAUUUUUUUGGGACUGUCAACCACGAAACGAAACAAAAAAAAAUGUUUUUUUCGACUUGACCAAGUUAUCAUUUUCGGCUUCUUUAGGUUUUUUUUUUAGUUUUUCAUUGUAUUCCAUUUUGUUUGCAAUUUUAUUUCUGUUUUUUUAUUGAUCAUUUUGAUAAAAUUAAAAAUUAUACAUAUUUGGAAAAGAAAUUAAAAAGUUAAAGAAUGAAAACAUGAAAUGUGGGUAUAAGAAUGGAUAUUAAAGGGGAUAAUUGUAACAAUGAAAAAAUACACCAAACAUUCAAUGAAUAUUUUAUAAAAAAAAAAUUACAUCACAUAUGAUGAAUAGUUUUCACUUAAAUAAUAAUUUUUAUUUUGGUUAUUAGUGAUGAGUAUCUUAACAAAAAAAAUUAAUUAGAACCGAAAGGAGUUAAUGGUAUUCGAUUCUUAGUUCAUGGAUAAUUCCUUUUCUAGUUUUUCGGUUAUGAUCUUUUUUUGGUCCUAUUCUUGUUCCAAUCACCUUCUUGGAAAACACAUUGCUUAGUAGAUUACCCAACGAUGCAAGUGUUCCAAACACCAUCUUAAAUCUAUUAUAUAAUUUGAUCAAUCCCUUGGUACAUAUUAUUGGGUGCUUUACGGGCUUAAGAAGAAAAUAGUGUUUUCUUUGAUUUUAGUUCCAUUUUAUCAAAAAUUUAUAAAUGUAAAUUUAACCCAUUUAUUUAUUUCCACAAAAUAUAUUAAAAGGCUAAAAUAUCAAUUAAAUUUCAAGUCCGUCUAAAAAUGAGUGUUUUAAUAUUUAUAACAUUUUUAAUCAACUUGUUUAAUAAAAGAUGAAUUAUUUUUCGGUAUAAUAAUCAUCAUAGUUAAUAUUGAUUAUUAGUAAAACUGAAAAAAAAUGUUACAUUAUUAUAUAGCUAAUGUAAAAGAAUUAAUGGGGAAAGAUAGAUUGCAUCAACUAUAUGCCACAGUUGAANNNNNNNNNNNNNNNNNNNNNNNNNNNNNNNNNNNNNNNNNNNNNNNNNNNNNNNNNNNNNNNNNNNNNNNNNNNNNNNNNNNNNNNNNNNNNNNNNNNNNNNNNNNNNNNNNNNNNNNNNNNNNNNNNNNNNNNNNNNNNNNNNNNNNNNNNNNNNNNNNNNNNNNNNNNNNNNNNNNNNNNNNNNNNNNNNNNNNNNNNNNNNNNNNNNNNNNNNNNNNNNUGUAUGUAUGUAUAUAUAUAUGUAUGUAUAUAUAUAUAAUUAUUUAAUAUUAAAUGGUCUCUCUCUCUCUCUCUCCUGAUUUAAUGGCAGAUGAGAGAAAAUGGAAUCAUUGCUAAAAGAAGAAAAAUAGAUCCUAAAUUGAGUUGCUCUUAAAGAAACUCAGAUUAAUGCAGUUCAAAACGAAAAGAAUCACUCACAUCUACUGUUUUUUCUUCCCGCUUCACUAGAUCUCACUACUGCAAUCGAUCAUGGAUCUCAUCUCUCUUUUCUCUCCUUUAUUUUUUGUGGUCGACAUAUAAUCAAACAGCUUGGGGUGAACUUUUAUUGGAAUGGGACCAAGUCUUUGGGCAAGCACUUCAUCUUGUACCCUGAUAAGCUGUUUGCAACGAGAACCUUCUCUUUGUCCAUGACCCAUGGUGGGAAGUUGUAUAUAAUGAAUGAAAUAUUUUGAUGCUACUUGAAGAAUGGAAUUGAGCCACAAGUCUGAAAAUCAAGCCAUAAAACUGAACAGGUCUGAAGUCGAUGAGAUGGUUCUAAGUAGUUUGCAACAUACAAGAACUCUAAUGAGUUUAGACGGGAAUAAUCAAUGUUCUCGAAAAUCUGGUGUGAAAUUUUUUUGUUAUUACUUGAGCCUCAAAGAUCAGGGUUUCUUGUUGUAGAUGUGUGUGUUAACUCGUACACACCAGGUGUUUACUGAAAUGCUUGACCAAGAGGAACUACCGAUUUUAACCGAGAUUACUAAUCAACAUCUGAUAUCCAAUAUAAAAUCAGAAAAAUGAAUUCUAUGAUAAAAAAGUAUGAUAUCCAGAUCAAAUUUUUUGAUGAUUAAGAUAAUUUCUUAUUCAUGGUGUGAUUAAUAAACCAAAUUCUGAGUGGAAUUAUGGGAUUUUUUUUUUUGGAAUAAUUGUUUUUUUCUAUACCUUGUGAGACAGGUAGAUAGUGUUUGAAGAGAAGGUCGUUUCCUAUUUUUUCUCUGACAAAUACGAUCGCUGGAAACAACGUAUAAUGACUAGGAAAUAUCAUCUGGGUCUCAUGCUCAUCCGCUCUAGCAACCACAACCAGUGGAGGCUGAUUCAGAGGUCGCUUAACCCUAGACAAGAGUUCCUCUGGUGCUGAUUCAAGUAAUCUAAAAUGGAUUAAAGCUCUGGUUAUAGAGGUUUGAUUGAUUGGACCUAUGUAAUUCUGGGUUUUCUGUACUAGAGAUGAAGAUGAAUUAAGCAACAGGAGAAAUGCUUUUCGAUCGAAUACCAAACCAUAUGAUCUAAACCGAAAUUGGGAGGAACAAAAUGGGUUGAUAUCUCGACUUAAUAGUCGAUUGUGAUAUAUGUGAAUGAAGAUGAUGAAGAAACGAGUUUUUUUUAGAGAGAGAGAGAGACCAUUUAAUAUUAAAUAAUUAUAUAUAUAUAUAUAUAUAUAUAUAUAUAUAUNNNNNNNNNNNNNNNNNNNNNNNNNNNNNNNNNNNNNNNNNNNNNNNNNNNNNNNNNNNNNNNNNNNNNNNNNNNNNNNNNNNNNNNNNNNNNNNNNNNNNNNNNNNNNNNNNNNNNNNNNNNNNNNNNNNNNNNNNNNNNNNNNNNNNNNNNNNNNNNNNNNNNNNNNNNNNNNNNNNNNNNNNNNNNNNNNNNNNNNNNNNNNNNNNNNNNNNNNNNNUAUAUAUAUAUAUAUACAUAUAUAUAUAUAUGUUCAUUCAUAAACAUAUAAUGGGUCUAUAAAUAUGAAACGACAUGGUGAUCUUUUAUGGCCAUAUAUUUAAUAAUAAUCUCAUUGGCAACCUCCAAGACUUUUAAGGCCAUAUUUAAUAAAGUGCAUGCUACAAAUUUUUAUGACAGUUUACAGGCAUAGUUUACAUGCUAAUAAUGCAUUUGUAAAAGUAGUUUGGAUUUUGGAUGUUGUCUAAUUAAUGAUAAAUGAUGGUUAGAAGAAUAAAGAAUUGAGUUAGUGGUUGGUGUUACUAAAUAAGAAAUCAUUAAAAAAUUGCUCUUUUUCAUUAAAAACUUGAUGAAAUUACUCACAUUAAGGUUGGUUUCUUUUAUGAUCCUCCUUCAAAGUUUGUACUUUUUUACACUUGUGUCAUGUCUGGUUAAAGUAGUUUUUUUAAAAACGUGUAGUCUUGUGUAUGAAGUUAGAAGGGAGUGUGUUUGGAAGAUUAAGGUGCCUUGGGUGUGUUCGUGUAACAGAAACAAUACUUUACUUUAAGCCAUAUUAUCAUCCUUUAAAUGUAAUCCAUCCAAAAAAUCACCAUGAUUUGUUUUUUAAAUUUAUAUUUUAAUUAACAUUGCAAUUGCAGAUAUUCCAUUAUAAUCCUAGACAAAAACACACUAAAUUCAAUUUUGUUUAAAUUUGCCUUGACGUCGACUUCCUUCAUGUUUCCCUUUCUCUUUUUUUUACUUACUAGAUUAUGACUCACGUUAAACGCGUAUAAUAUAAAUUAAAUACACAUCACAUUGAUAGAUGGUAUUGUUUUAGGUGAAAUUUUAAUAAAAAAAUGUUAGUUAGAUUCAUUUUGAGUUUUUGAACCAAAUUUAUUAAAUAAAAAUAUUUAAUAUUUAUAUUAGAGCAAUUUGGUGUUUUAAUACACUAAUUUUUAACACAAAUGAUCCACAUGAUAUUUGUUUUAUCACAACACGAUGCGACUCAUUGGUUAAAACAUGUUGUGUAGUAGCUUUAUGAAUUUACUUUGUUCGGUAUACAACCCCCAUGGAGGCUCAAAUGGCACUUUUCAUACUGGUUAUGUAACACCAAAAGCAACAAUAAGUUACUAUGUGUACCAGCAACGCUAAAUUCUGUAAAGAAAUUUGAUAAACAUUACAAUUAAAUUGCAUUGCCAUAGCCAUAAACAUCAAACUCAGACAUUGUAAUUUGGUCAAUUUCUAAAAUAUUUUUUCCUUAUAAAAAUUAGAAUAUGAUUUUUCAGGCUACACCUAAUCAGAUAUACAUAUCUUCCGAUNCAAAGAAAUUAUUACAAAAAAAUCCUUGUUAUGAACAAAAAUAUAAUAUUAGUUUCAUAAUUUGCCAAAGGUUAACACUAAUAACUAAUAAUAAACUUUCACAAAUCUGACAUUUUGGUCACUUCAUCUAACUAAUAAAUGAAUUUCAGUCUAGAUGAUUGAUUCAAGAAGUGCAUCCAUAACUUCUUGUAGCUGAAUUUGGGGGAAUUCUAAGACCUAUUAAGAUAUCUGGGAAUGGUUUAUGAGACUACGGUUGGUUUCUGGAGGGCAAUACAAAUUCAAAAUGUUAGCAUGUAUCUUUCCUCUGGUGGAUUGAAUAACUUUUUAUGACAUCUCAACGGGAAUAUAGUAAUAACAGGUAACAAGAACAGAGUAAAUGCAUGAAAUUAGAGAAGAAGAAGGAGACAGAGUAAAAAAAGAACUUGUAAAAAAGAAAUGGAGAAGAAGAGCAUUAUAAAUCGUACGACUCAAUCCAUAAUCGUAAGAAUAAAAAAUUCAAUGUAAUUCUGGCUCUCUCUCUCUGUGUGUGUGUGUGUGUGUGUGUAUAUAUAUAUAUAUAUAUAUAUAUAUANAAUAACAGUUAUAUUGAUUCAAAAUUUCAAAUUAAUUAACUUGCUUAUUUAAUGAAUUUUAAAAUUCAAAGCGUUAUCUCAAAUUGAUUCAUUUUACGUUGGAUAUACUGGGAAGGAAAUUAUGAAUAAGAUUUACUUUAAUUUUGACUCAUAAAUAUUUUGCUGAUUUAAUGAAAUUAGAUUAGAAUUUGUUGGUUAAUAACCGAAUUAUUGAUAUGCUUAUUUAAUGAGUUUUUUAAAAAAAAAAUAAAAAAUAAAAAAAAUAAAAAAAUAAAAUAAACUAAACGGGUUUGAAUUUUUAAGCCAAAAGCUAUAAAUCUGGGAGUUAAAUUAGCAACAAUAUUAAUUAUAAAAUCUGAUAUCUCGUAUAUAAAUAGAAUGAUAUGCUUCAAUUGAUAACAUAAUUGCUGAAUUUAAAGAUUUCUAUUUGGAGAAGAUGAUGUCAACAAUUUGAUUUAAUGGUGGAAAACAUAUGAUUGAAAUACAAUCAAGAGUCCUGAUUGCUUCAUUGGUGAAUUAAGGGUUCUCUUGUAAUAAUAUUUAGAUAUGAAUGAAACUAAUAUGCUUAAAGUAGAUUGAUUAAUUUUCUUCAUGACCUCUCAACAGGAAUACAGUAAUAACAUGUAAUAAGAAGAGAGAGUAAUGCAACAAAUUGGAGAAUGAGAAGGAGAACAAAGUAAAGAAAAAACCUAGAAAAAAGAAUUGAAGAAGAAAAUUGCUAAAGAAGAACACUGUAAAUUGUAAGACUCAAUCCAAAAUCGUAAAAAUAACAACUUCAAUGUAAUCGUAUAUAUAUGGUGUUUUUGAAUAAUCAAAUCAUUAUCUUCUAAAAAAUGGGAUCUUAAGAUAUCAUCUUGGAGAUUUCCGACUAUUAAUCUAGAAAAAAAAAGAAAUCAGUUAUAUUGAUUCAAAUUUUCAAAUUAAUUGACUUGCUUAUUUUAUUAGCUUUAAAAUUCAAAUCAUUAUCUCAAAUUUAUUCAUUUUAUGUAGGAUAUUCUGAGAGAUAAAUUAUUAAUGAUAGUUACUUUAAUUUUGACUCAAAAAUAUUUUGCAGAUUUAAUUAGAUUAGAUUAGAUUUUAUAGGUUAAUAACCAAAUUAGUGAUGUGCUUAUUUAAAGAGUUAUUUAAAAAUAACGGAUUUAAAUUUUAAAACCAAAAACUAUAAAUAAGGGAGUUAAAUUAAAAACAAUAUUAACUAUAGAAAUUUAUAUAUUUUAUAUAAAUAGAAUGAUAUGUUUUAAUUAAUAAUAUAAUUGUUCAAUUUAAAGAUUAUAUAAUUAAAUGUAAUUGUGUUUGAAUUCUAUUUGGAAAGAUGAUGUCAUCAAUUUGAUCUAAUGGUGGAAAACAUAUGAUUAAAAUACAAUCAAGGGUCAUGAUUGCUUCAGUAGUGAAUUAAAGAUUCUCUUUUAAUAAUAUUUAGAGAUAAAUUGAGUUGCUCUUAAAGAAACUCAGAUUAGUGCAGUUCAAAAAGAAAAGAAUCACUCACAUCUACUCUUUCUUCUUCCCGCUUCACUAGAUCUCACUACUGCAAUCGAUCAUGGAUCCCAUCUCUCUUUUCUCUCCUUUAUUUUUUGGGGUCGACAUAUAAUCAAACAGCUUAGGGUCAACUUUUAUUGGAAUGGGACCAAGUCUUUGGGCAAGCACUUCAUCUUGUACCCUGAUGAACUGUUUGCAACGAGAACCUUCUCUAUGUCCGUGACCCAUGGUGGGAAGUUGUAUACAAAGAAUGAAAUAUUUUGAUGCUACUUGAAGAAUGGAAUUGAGCCACAAAUCUGAAACGCGAGCCAUAAAACUGAACAACUCUGAAGUCGAUGAGAUGGUUCUAAGUAGUUUGCAACAUACAAGAACUCUAAUGAGUUUAGACAAGAAUAAUCAAUGUUCUCGAAAAUAUGGUCUGAAAUUUUCUUGUUAUUACUUAAGCCUCAAAGAUCUGGGUUUGUUGUUGUAGAUGUGUGUGUGUUCGCUCGUACACACCAUGUGUUCACUGAAAUGCUUGACCAAGAGGAACUACCGAUUUUAACCGAGAUUACUAAUCAGCAUCUGAUAUCCAAUAUAAAAUCAGAAAAAUGAAUUCUAUGAUAGAAAAGUAUGAUAUCCAGAUCAAAUUUUUCGAUGAUUAAGGUAAUAUCUUGUUUAUGCUGUGAUUAAUAAACCAAAUUCUGAGUGGAAUUGUGGGAUUUUUUUUUCUUGGAAUAGUUGUUUUUUUCUAUACCUUAUGAGACAGGUAGAUGGUGUUUGAAGAGAAGGUCGUUUCCGGUUUUUUCUCUGCCAAAUACGAUCGCUGGAAACAACGUAUAAUUACUAGGAAAUAUCAUCUGGGUCUCAUGCUCACCCAUUCUAGCAACCACAACCAGUGGAGGCUGAUUCAGAGGUCUCUUAACCCUAGACAAGAGUUCCUCUAGUGCUAAUUUAAGUAAUCUAACAUGGAUUAAAGCUCUGGUUAUGGAGGUUUGAUUGAUUGCACCUAUGUAAUUUCUGGGUUUUCUGUACUAGAGAUGAAUAUGAAUUAACAAACAGGAUAAAUGCCUUUGGAUCGAAUACCAAACCAUAUGAUCUAAACCGAAAUUCGGAGGAACAAAAUGGGUUGAUAUCUCGACUUAAUAAUUGAUUGUGAUGUGUGUGAAUGAAGAUGAUGAAGAAACGAGUUUUUUUUAGAGAGAGAGAGACCAUUUAAUAUUAAAUAAGUAUAUAUAUAUUUUUUUCUUUUUCUUAUAAACAAGGCAAAACUUCAUAAAUGGUCCCUAUGGCAGUGAAAUGACAUAAAUACCCUCCACUUAACGGCCAAAAGCUAACGGAGUUAACGAAAAGGACCACUUGUAAAAAGUUUUGAAACCACAGGGACCGUCUGAGAGGUUUUUUGAACUUAGAGACUAAACUUGAUAUUUUUGAAAACCACAGGGACCAUUUUUGAAGUUUUGUCUAUAUAUAUAUAUAUAUAUANAGGAGGAACUCGACGAGUCCGAGCGGGAUCCGGGUCAAGGAGUAAGUGACCGACUCGGUGAGUCGGCCAAGGAGACUCGACGAGUUUGGUCUGAACGAGGAAAACCCUAAAUCUGGGACUUGGAGCCUAUUUAAACGUCUCAUUCUCUCCCCUAGGGUUCCUUUACUACCUCUUUCACCCAGAACACCGAACCCUAAGCCCCAUUGUUGCUCAUUCAAGCUUUCAAGCCAUUUUUGGGCGAUUUGAAGGAAGAAGAAAGAGGGGAAUCACUGAAGCUUCAACGAUUGGCCUUAGAUCUGGAGUUUGUGGAACCUUUAUGAGUUAUUGAAGGUACUAAGUCGUUUUCUUCAUUUAGAUCUAUUCUAGUAGUGAGUUUUGGGGCUUUUUAGCCAUCAUUAGUUAUCCAUUUGAGUUAGAAGCCAGAUCUAAAGUCGCUACUUCGGAUCUAAGCACAUUUUGGCCUUGUGAAGCAUAAAGUAACUGCCCUUGAGUUGAUUAUGGAGCCUCCUGUCCUUAAACCCUAGUUUAUGGUGUAUUUAGCCUAGAUCUCCUUCUCUACACGUAAAGUUAGCAACUUUACAUGAGGAAUAGGCUUGGAAAGGGUAGAUCUACAGUUUGGAGUCCAUGCAUGACUCAAAAUUCCUCUGCAUGUAUGAAGAUCUGAAUGGACUCAGCGAGUCUUUUGAGUGGACUCGAUGAGUAGCAUGAAGAUUAGGAGCAACUCGACGAGUGGGACGAACAAUUCGUUGAGUCGGAUGAAGAUUGCCUUGUACUCGGGGAGUCUGUUCUUGGACUCGGCGAUUCAGGUCGCGAAACCCCAAACCCUUCGAGUUGAGACUCGAAUCAAUGAGUCAAGUGGAGACUCAGUGAGUCGGACAUGGUAGGACUCAGAAAUCGGUAGACUCGGCGAGUCAUGGACUGACUCGGCGAGUCGAGUCGCGAAUGGAAGGACUCUGAGCAUAUGAACUCGGCGAGUCAGUAGGUUGACUCGGUGAGUAGGGUUGACCUGGAAGGUUGACCUUGACCAGGACUUUGACUUUGACCAGCGUUGACUUGGUUGACUUUCGGGGAUCAGUUAGACUAAGUGUUGCAUUGAUAUUGGUAGCUCGGGGAGCUAGUGGAGCAGGAGUUCAGGAAGUUUCCGGGAAACAGCUAGAGGGGCUAUCAGCAAGUUCAGCAAGUGCAGGUAAGUUUCCCUUUUGUGUGAAUGGGUCUACGGCCACAAUGCUGACCCAUGUAGUUAUGAGUAGAAGACCCGGGGGUUAGCCCUAGGUAUAGUAUGAUAGUAUGAUAUUCAGGACGAGGUCCAAUGAUGUUUAUAUGAUAGUUUAUACUUGUUGUCUGUGUGAUACUUGUAUGUGCCUGGUAGGGAGGUGAGUGUGGGCAAGUUCCAGUAACUCACCAAUAGCAGAGUGUGGAUGGUGUUCCACAUCUCAUUAGCAGCAGAUCAGGGGUGAGGCCCAAGUUAGGGAAGGAGUGUGGAUGGGCUGGACCUGUACCUCACUAUUAGCAGGAGUAUAGACGGGGUUCCAUGACUCAUCAGUAGCAGGACAAGGUCGAGGCCUAGAGUCAGGCGAGGCCUUAGGACAAGAUCCGUUAAUAUGUGUUUAGCUUAUGUGAUGUGAUAUGUUUAUGUUCUAUUAUAUGUUAGCGGGAGAGGCCCUGUGACAGGUGAGGCCUAAGUGAAACAGAUCUGUAUCCGAGCGGGGCUCGAAGCCAGGCGGGGCCUGGAGCGGCGGGGACAUUGUAUCGGGCGAGGACCGAGAUAGGGGCGAGGCCCAGGAUAGCAGGCGUGGCCUAGUAUGUGCAGUAUGUGGUUAUGUAUGGUAUGUGGUAGGGUGGGGAACUCACUAAGCUUCGUGCUUACGGUUUUCAGUUUUGGUUUCAGGUACUUCCGGUAGCGGAGGGAAGAGCUCGGGGUGAUCGCAUGACACACACCAUAGAUUAGACAGCCUGGGAAUGUUUACUCUGAUAACGAACAUGUGGUUUGGAAAUUAAUACUCUGAUUAUGUUUUGGAUGGAUGACUCUGCUGUAAGUAAUGUUUUAUUAUAAGAAAUUUUUAGUCUUGAAUUUUGGGACGUUACAAGUUGGUAUCAGAGCCUUGGUUUGAGGGAUUCAGGCAUACUCUCGGGUGUGUAUGAACUCAAACUAAGGGGGUCAGAUAAAAAGUUUUCAAAAUGAAAAGACAGUUUUGUAAAAAGGAUGUUUUUAUAAUGAAACAGUUUUAGAAAAGCAAAAAGAACUCAGAUAGAAAAGAAUUUUGAAGAAAGAAAAGGGGUGUGGUGCAUGCAAUCAGCCGAGCUCAAGUAAGUACCCCAAAUUACCCAUAGAAGUUUAUGAUUUGAUUAUCAGUUAGUAGAACAGCAUGCUAGAUUAGGACUAAGGAUCUAGGGAGGAUGCCUUAUGCGCCUAUUAUAUGUGCCUUGAGCUGCAUGAUAGUGCUGAUUAGACAGUAAUACGAUAGUCUGUUUAGGUUAUUCCUGAGUUUAUGAGUUGGUGUUACAUGCUAGUUCAGAUUCUUGCUAUGUGGAUAUGAUUGCUUGAGUAUGUUGUGGUUAGAUUUUCCCCUUGUCUUAAUGUUGCUUGCUUUGUGUAAUAUGGGAUUCCGAGUGAUUGGAGUUAACUAUUAGGUGGAUACAUCACGUCACAUGUGAUCAGGGUUGAAUAAUCUCAGAGUGCUGGAUUUGGCCCUAUUUCGCAGCUCAGUUUUGAGUCCAACCGUUAUAGGGACGAGUCUUUUACCCGAAGGAUUAUCUGAGCCUCGUCACAUGUGAUGGUAUCUAGGUAAUGGUUAAUUGGCAUCACAAUGAGACCUUCAGCAGCUGAAGACUGUUUGUGUUGAGUCAGAGGUUUCCCUAGGGUAAGCCUAGGAUGAGAUAGUGCUGGGAGCAGUAGUAGUGGAUAAGGGACCUGGUGGAGUGGAAGUAAUUCCUGAGGACAGUACGGAUAGAUGUGGAAGGUAGUAUGGGCCCGUACUACUGAAAGUAGAGGAUCCGUACUCGAUUCGAGAAAGGCCAAGACAAGACCGGGAACAUGGUAGGGUGUGUGUUUUGUUUCGCAGCAGUGAUAAGUAUUCUGAUAGAGGAUGUAUUAUAUUUUCAGCAUGGUGACGUUGCGAGAGAGACCAAUGAGCGGACCAGGCGCCGGAGAGGGAUCAGGCUCGGGUUCAGGAGCCGAGCAGCUCGAGGAGCGAAUGAGGGAGUUGAUAUCAGCCGAGGUUACGCGCAGUAUUCUAGAUCAGACUCCUGUGAUCUUUGGCACGGUCAAGGAUGGAGAUUUUGGAUGAGAGGCUGGGAGCCUUCCGUACGGAGAUGAUGGCUUUUAUGGGAGCGCAUACCUUGACAUUUCGAGAGUUCAGGGCUUGCCGGGCACCAGAUUAUCAUGGGGCUAGGGACCCCAUCGCUAGCAGCAGAUGGUUGGCUGAUGUUGCCAACACAUUCCGUACGACCCGGUGUCCUGAGGGGGACAAGGUCAGACUCACUUCGUGUCUUUUGAAGGAUAAAUCGAGGGAUUGGUAGGAGGAGAUUGGUCAUACUCUGGGAGAUGAUGUCGCGUUGGACGCGAUGACUUGGAGCGAUUUCUCGGCCAGGUUCAGGGCGAAGUUUUCGCUGAUUAUUGAGGUGCAGUAAUUGGCACAGGAGUUUCAGGAUUUGACGCAGACCACUGAGACUAUGGCGGAGAUCACCGUCAAGUUUAGGGAGAGGGCUCUUCUCGUACCAUAGUAUGUCGCAGAUGAGGAGAUGAAGAAGGCCCGAUACCAUGAGAUGUUGAGGGCUGAUAUCAGGGAGUUCGUGAGCAGGUCCGGCUGUAAGACGCUGGAAGAUAUGAUUUCUCGGGCCAGAGAGAGGGAAAUUGAUUUGGAGCAGAUCCGAAAGAGGAAAUCGGAUGAGGUUCAGGUAACCGUGGGUUCGGACAAAAGGCCCAAGGGGUCGGAUUCGAGAUCGAGGGAUUAUCAGGACCGCAGCUGAUGCGGGAAGUAUGGCAGGGCGCACGGGGGCGCGUGCAGGGGUGGUAGCGGCAAUGAGUCUGACUGCUUCAAGUGCGGUCGGACUGGUCAUUUUAGUAGGGAUUGUACUGUUACCACUACUCAGGGAUCCGACUUGAUAUUUUUUCACUGCAAUCAGCGGGGCCACAAGAAGGCCCAGUGCCCCAGUUUGUUUUCAGCAAGACGGGUGAUGGCACAUGCCCCUACAACUUUGAGGAUCACAGACGGCCGUCAGGGCCGUGCAGAGGCGCCUGUGGUAGGAGGCAGGGAUUUUCAGAUGACUUCCUUGGAGGCAUGAGCAGCAUCGGACGUUGCAUGUAUGCGAUUUCUGUUUUCAGUUCUUUUAUUUGAGCUUGAUUAUAUUGUUAUGGUUCUGCAUCAUUAUCGGUAUGAGUAUUUUAUUUUUGGGCGGGUUGAUCGUGAUCAAGUUAUAUGCCAUCUGCAUACCUUGGAUAUUUGAAUGGUAGUUAGGGGAUGUGCCCUAUUGGGGGAGGUUGCUUAGGGUACAGUAACUGUAGCAUGGCUGGGAGGGACUUGGUAUGUCUCGCUAGUUUGGAGUCGUAUAGUUGUAGAAAUGGACAGGUUAGAUCCCUAGCUAUGGUAAGCUUGGGGUUCCUCAGCAGGUUGAUUAUGGAAUGGUAGCGAGGAUUGGGAUUUCUUUUCGAGCAUUGAGCAGCAAGGGUUAAGCAGGAUCGAACUGGGGGAGAAUCCUCCGAGCCUGCAAAGGUAAGAGCACGCAUAUCCAGAAUGAGUGUGCGACCUCCGAGAAGGAAAAGAAGUGGUACAGCGUUUGAUGGAUUGAGGAGUUCAGGGUUGAGAGGUUGAGAAACUCCCCCUCAGUCAGUGUGUGUAUUGGUGAUGGUUAGUAUGUGGUUGGGAAUUCAGGUUGGAGGAUCACCUGUAGGGCUCGAGUGAGUCAGUAGGAGGAUCUUUUAGAACUGAUAGCAUGGGGUGCUUUCGUAUUAGCAGCCAGUGGUGGAAUGUGCUGUCAAAUACGGGGCAACCGUAGCAUUCACAAGCAGUCAGUGGUGGAAAGUGUUGUAAGACUACGGGGCAGCCGUAGCAUUCACUAGCAGUCAGUGGUGGAAAGUGUUGUCAGACUACGUGUAACGCCCAUGUUUCAAGGCUAAGCAUUUUUCACAAUGUAAUAGUCUAGGUCAACUAUUGUAACUCUUUUUGAAAUAAUAAAGAUGAAAUAUUUGAGUAUUAUGUGAAUUAUGUGUGUUUAUGUGCUUAUUAUUUAAUUAUAAAUGUAUAAUUAAUAAAGAACAAAAAUAAGCGUCAAAAUUAAAGUGCGAGAUAAGCCCGAUAUCUUUAUAUAAUGUUGUAGUGGUCGAAACAACGAUUUCGGGGAUAUAAAGAACACCGAAAUCCAAGUUAUAACGAAGAAGCUAUGACCCGUCGGAGUUUCUCGACAGAACCGACACGAUACCGGGAAGCGUAAAUAGUGAAUUUACGAUAGAGCGAGAUUUAGCCUUAGCGAUCUAAACAAAGUCGUAGAAUUAGUUAAACUAAGAACAUCAAUAAAAAGAACGCCCAAAUCUGACUUCGUAUGAAGAAGAUAUGAUUUUUCGAAGUUUCGGAUUAGCAGUGUACAACCCGAAAUUCGAAUAUUAGAUCGAGUGAUUUUUAGCCGACACGACCUAAACGAGAAUCGAAGAUCUCGUUAAAAGUAGCGUAACGAGAAAAAGAUGGGCGAAAACGGAUUUCGGAUGAAGAAGUUAUGAGGAUUUAACAGACCAAUCCUGUCCCGGUCUGUUAAUAAUAUAAAUUUUAAAAUCGAUUCAAAAUUAGCGGACGAAGUCUAAACGAAAGUUGUAGAAUACGUUCCCACCUUCGUGUGGAUAAAAAGAACGUUGAAAACAGAGGUCGUACACGAAAGUUACGAAUUUUUGAAGUUGUAACUCGAAUUUGCGAAGCUCGUGCAAUGGGUAAUGACGUGGAUCGAUCAGGGCCAUAGCUUGCGGAUCACGGUCUAGUCUUCGGAUUCGGAAACCUGGCCUCGCUACGCCUCACGUACAAGUGGAACGCCCCGCGUCCGAGUACGCCCCGCGUCGGAAGAAGGCUACGCCCAGCGGACUUCGGAUUGAGUGGUUCAGAGGAGUGCCACGAUGACCCAGCAGCGAAGCGACACGUGUAGUACGACCGAGCCAUUACGCCCAGCGUAGGUCCGAGGUAUGCCCAGCAUACCGAGGCCUUGCAGGCUAUAAAAAGGCAGCGAAGGCAACUUCAUUUUUCACCCAUUUUUCACUUCUCUCUCUAGUUUCUUUCUCUCUCUACAACCCCAAACCCCCCCUAAACCCUAGAAAAACCCCCUAGCACCCUAAGGAAGCCCCAAGGCUCCCGAAGUCCUGAGAAAAAGGAGUCUUUCGGUUUCGAAAUGCUGCUCCAAUUAAGUUCCGGUUUUCGAUAAAAAUCACUGUAAAUGUGCUACGCUUACGCAAAUUUUAAUAUAGCUUUCAAAUAAUUAUAAGAAUGUUAUUAGGUCCUUAAAAUAAUUAUUUGGGCUAUUAUUAUGAGUUAUAUUGAGUGUUAUUAACGCUUGUAUAAUAAUAAUAAUAGUCAGACUAAUUAAUUUGUCGCAGUUAUCGUUAGACUAAACCCUAGCGAUAUUGGUACUAGGUUUUAUCAAAGGAAAAUCGUUUUGAGAGUAUCGAAGCGUUGUCCGAGUGCUGAGUCACCGCCUUUCAGGUGAAUGCAUAGUUACUUUUUGCUUACACAUAGAUAUGAAGUAUUUUAUAUAAAUUACAUGCUAUGUGUGCAUAUUAUCUGAAUACUUGCUAUCUAUGCUGGAUGAACAUUGUUGUACAUGUUUUCAAUGAUUUAAACUGUAUAUGUAUUUUAUAUCUACGAAAAUGUUGGGGUAAAACAUGGGUAGAUGUAAUAGGUGAUGUGUGUUAAAAUGAUGAGAGGCCUCGAUGUUGAUGUUGUUGAUUCUGUCAUCUAGCGGAGUAUGGAUGACAACCACAAACUCUUCUAGACAGGCCAGUGGAACACUAGCAGGCUCGCAACCUGUAAGUGUUUGUGAACGAUGUGUUCACCAGUAUACUCCAUCCCCCACAUGGUUGCCUUUAGGACAUUUAUUGUUGGGGAAUCCCCUUAGCAGUAGUGUCCAUCCCGAUGAUGAUCCUUAGGCUAGGUCCCUUAUGAUAGGUGUUUAGGGACGUAAAGUGAGGAUAACGGGAACGGGUAAUCGGGUUAUUGUUGAUUGAUGAAAUUAAUAAACUUAUUUAUUGUGGGUUGAAAACCCUAUGUGCUCACCAGGCUCCCAAGCCUGACCCACUCAGUUUUAUGUAUUACAGGUAGUGGCGCAUGAGCAUAGGUGUGAUGUUUUGGACGAGGGAUUACGGAUAUAGGCCUGUAGAUAUGAAAUAAUGUAGUAAGGCUUAUAUUGUACUGUUUAUGCUUUUGAUCUGUACGAACAUGACAUCCCGAGUCUUUUAAUGAAAUACAUUUCUAUGGAAAUGCUUUUGAUAAAUCUUUAUCAUAUUUUUGUUUUGGGACAAAUUCCGCAACACUUUCAUUUAAAAUGUAACUCUGAUUUUAAACAAAGCGUAAACAAACCGGUCUUUUUUUGGCCUUGAUUUUGGGGAUGUCACAGUUGGUAUCAGAGCAUUAGUUUAAGCGAACUAGGAAUUUGUAGGAUUUCUAGACUUAAACUUAGAAUGCCAAGCGAUGAUUAUGAGGUGUGAGCUCUAGCUUAUUUUAGGAACUCUGCCUAAAAUGAUUUUAUGUGCCAAACGCUUUGUGCAUGAUAUGCUGUUAUUUGUUCGGAUCUAUGGUCUGUUGCCGACCGGAUCUGGAAACCUUAUGUGUUUAGGAUUCUAAACGUACGACUAUGAUAUUAUAAAUAGCAUGUAAAUGUUUCGGACUGAUAAGGACGAUUUAAACGUCUAUCCUAAAUAAAGAUCUAAAUUCACCUUAUUCGGUGUAUAGAUCAAGAUGGCAAGGACCCGUAGCGGAAACGUAAACGCAAAUGGAGAUAGUAACCAACCCCCAGUGGUUCAGCAAAUACCUGUUGUAGAAGAAGUUGCACCUGAACCAGUCACGAUGGCCGGAGUUCAAGCCAUGAUUCAGGCUAUGCUAGCUGAACAACGGGAAGAAAUGAGACGGAUGCUCCACGAAAAUAGGGACGAACCUACCAUACAUGUUGAACCGACGGAGCCAGUUCUCGAGCAAUCUAAGCAAGGAAACUACAACCGCCAAGUGAGUCAAGUAGGGACUCAAGGUGAGCAAAGGGAUGGCCCAGAAGGGAGAAACAACAAGGAUGGGCGGAUGUACAAAAAUUUAUUGGGUGCGAAACCACCAAGUCUAUCAGGAAGCCCAAAGUCUGUUGAGAUUAUGGACUGGAUCUCCGAGAUGGAGAUGGUGUUUGAAAGCUGUGACUGCAGUGAGAAGCAAAAGACUGUCGUCGCUAUGAGACAAUUGACAACUAGAGUCUUGAGCUGGUGGAAGCUAUUGGCAGAUACAAUGUCGCGAGGAGAAGCUCUGAAAAUUUCAUGGGAUGAGCUCUUGGAACAACUGAAGGCGCAAUACUGUUCAGAGAUAGAUCUGAUUGAUCUAAACAAUGAGUUCCAAAUUUUGAAGAAGGGGAGAAUGAGCAUCGAUGACUAUGUUGUUGCAUUUACGGAAAAUAUGAAGUUGUUUCCAUACCUAGUGCCAACCGAACUUUCCAAAAUUGAGAAAUUCGCAAACGGACUGCCGGCUGACUUUGGCCCAACAGUCAAGAUGGCAACCACUCUGAAAUCAGCUGUUCGAGCAGCUAAGAAUGUGGAGACCGAACAAAAGGAAAGAGGUCUGGAAAGGGCUGAGGUUGGUGAGAAACGGAAGCUCGAUGGAUCCUUGAAGUCCAUCAAGAAGAGUAGAUUCUUGAAGUCUGGUUCAAGAGGAGGAGGAUCAGAAGUGAAGUGGUGUGACAAGUGCAAGAAGAAGCACUCUAGGAAGUGUGACGGAGGGGUCACUUGUUUCAAAUGUGGAAAGCCUGGGCACUAUGCAAAUGAAUGCACCCUCAACCAGAAGGCCUGUUAUGGGUGUAAUGAAGAAGGGCACAUUUUUAAGGAUUGCCCAAAGAAGAAGGAGGCAGGAAGACCCAACAAACCACAGAAGCCGAAGGCGAGAGCCUUCCAGAUGACGCUUGAGGCUGCGAAGGAGGCAGCAGACGUUGCUUCAGGUACCUUUCUUGUAAAUGGUUUGCCUGCAAAUAUACUAUUUGAUUCCGAAGCCAAUUAGUCAUUUGUGUCGCAUAAAUUUGGUGGUAAAUUAGCAUUGCCUGUAGAAAAACUAGAUAAUGCCCUGAUUGUAGAAGUUGGUAGUGGCAAAUUCGUACCUGUUAGUAAUCGUAUUAGGAACAUUAUCAUCGACCUAAACGGAAAUGAAUUCCACGAAGAGCUAUUACCCAUAGAGUUAAACGGUUUCGACAUCGUUUUGGGUAUGGAUUGGCUUAGCGCCAACGAUGCUGAGAUUCAAUGCCGAAAGAAGAUAGUAAAGGUAAACCCACCCAGAAAAGAAUCAUUUAUGGUGUAUGGGGACAAACGCAGAGUGAAUUCUGGAAUCAUCUCCCUGAUGAAAGCCAGGAAAUGUUUGUCCAAAGGAUGUGCAUCAUACUUGGCAUUCGUAAUCGAUGCUAAGAAGAAGAAGAAAGAGGUACAGAAUAUACCGGUUGUGUGUGAUUAUCCGGAAGUCUUUCCCAAAGAUCUUCCCGGAUUACCACCUGAUAGACAAGUGGAGUUUCGUAUAGACUUGUUACCAGGAACAACACCGAUAGCAAAACCACCAUACCGACUAGCACCGACGGAGAUGAAGGAGCUUAUGAUGCAACUUCAGGUGCUGUUGGACAACAGUUUCAUUCGACCUAGUUAAUCACCCUGGGGAUCUCCGGUGUUAUUCGUGAAGAAGAAGGACGGAAAUAUGAGAAUGUGUAUAGACUACCGAGGGCUGAAUAAGGCAACGGUGAAGAACAAGUAUCCAUUGCCUAGGAUUGAUGACCUAUUCGAUCAGCUGGAAGGUUCGAGCUACU
RNAcentral lists this long non-coding RNA (24939 nucleotides) under Lactuca sativa (garden lettuce). RNAcentral's name for it is "long non-coding RNA (LSAT_LNC008625)". The record is from RNAcentral. Lineage: Eukaryota; Viridiplantae; Streptophyta; Magnoliopsida; Asterales; Asteraceae.